Molecule: ribosomal RNA, 1025 nt
Filed under: Stutzerimonas chloritidismutans
Lineage: Bacteria; Pseudomonadati; Pseudomonadota; Gammaproteobacteria; Pseudomonadales; Pseudomonadaceae
Description: bacterial SSU rRNA
Rfam family: Bacterial small subunit ribosomal RNA
Source: RNAcentral
CGUGGUGGAAGCCCUAAACAUGCAGUCGAGCGGAUGAGGGAGCUUGCUCUCUGAUUCAGCGGCGGACGGGUGAGUAAUGCCUAGGAAUCUGCCUGAUAGUGGGGGACAACGUUUCGAAAGGAACGCUAAUACCGCAUACGUCCUACGGGAGAAAGCAGGGGACCUUCGGGCCUUGCGCUAUCAGAUGAGCCUAGGUCGGAUUAGCUAGUUGGUGAGGUAACGGCUCACCAAGGCGACGAUCCGUAACUGGUCUGAGAGGAUGAUCAGUCACACUGGAACUGAGACACGGUCCAGACUCCUACGGGAGGCAGCAGUGGGGAAUAUUGGACAAUGGGCGAAAGCCUGAUCCAGCCAUGCCGCGUGUGUGAAGAAGGUCUUCGGAUUGUAAAGCACUUUAAGUUGGGAGGAAGGGCAUUAACCUAAUACGUUAGUGUUUUGACGUUACCGACAGAAUAAGCACCGGCUAACUUCGUGCCAGCAGCCGCGGUAAUACGAAGGGUGCAAGCGUUAAUCGGAAUUACUGGGCGUAAAGCGCGCGUAGGUGGUUUGUUAAGUUGAAUGUGAAAGCCCCGGGCUCAACCUGGGAACUGCAUCCAAAACUGGCAAGCUAGAGUAUGGCAGAGGGUGGUGGAAUUUCCUGUGUAGCGGUGAAAUGCGUAGAUAUAGGAAGGAACACCAGUGGCGAAGGCGACCACCUGGGCUAAUACUGACACUGAGGUGCGAAAGCGUGGGGAGCAAACAGGAUUAGAUACCCUGGUAGUCCACGCCGUAAACGAUGUCGACUAGCCGUUGGGAUCCUUGAGAUCUUAGUGGCGCAGCUAACGCAUUAAGUCGACCGCCUGGGGAGUACGGCCGCAAGGUUAAAACUCAAAUGAAUUGACGGGGCCCGCACAAGCGGUGGAGCAUGUGUUUUAAUUCGAGCAUCGCGAAGAACCUUACCAGGCCUUGACAUGCAGAGAACUUUCCAGAGAUGAUUGCUGCCUUCGGAACUCUGACACAGGUGCUGCAUAGCCUGGUCGUCAGCU